RNAcentral lists this unclassified non-coding RNA (329 nucleotides) under soil metagenome. Its description in RNAcentral is "partial contains 5.8S ribosomal RNA, internal transcribed spacer 2, and large subunit ribosomal RNA". The stretch from base 1 to 120 matches the Rfam family "5.8S ribosomal RNA", at positions 35 to 154 of the family's 154-position model. The record is from RNAcentral.
GAUGAAGAACGUAGCGAAAUGCGAUAAGUAAUGUGAAUUGCAGAAUUCCGUGAAUCAUCGAAUCUUUGAACGCACAUUGCGCCCCCUGGCAUUCCGGGGGGCAUGCCUGUCCGAGCGUCAUUACAACCCUCAAGCUCAGCUUGGUGUUGGGCCCCGCCGCCCCGGCGGGCCCUAAAGUCAGUGGCGGUGCCGUCCGGCUCCGAGCGUAGUAAUUCUUCUCGCUCUGGAGGUCCGGUCGCGUGCUCGCCAGCAACCCCCAAUUUUUUUCAGGUUGACCUCGGAUCAGGUAGGGAUACCCGCUGAACUUAAGCAUAUCAAUAAGCGGAGGA